Caenorhabditis elegans is the source of this 21-nucleotide non-coding RNA. The record is from Ensembl. Lineage: Eukaryota; Metazoa; Nematoda; Chromadorea; Rhabditida; Rhabditidae.
UACGAGGCACGAAUUGUUGUU